CGGCACCUGAAAGGUGCCGGGAUUUUAAGGUAUUCACAUACCUGAAUAGGCCGGAGUCGGCCUGUAAGCCGGGUUCUGUUCCGGGUUGCCCC
This 92-nucleotide transfer RNA is filed under the name Aeromonas encheleia. RNAcentral describes it as "tRNA-???(ca)". Lineage: Bacteria; Pseudomonadati; Pseudomonadota; Gammaproteobacteria; Aeromonadales; Aeromonadaceae. The record is from RNAcentral.